UAGACUAUUUUAUUAGAACUUAAAAACAUAUUAGAUAUUUUUACAACAACAGAAUACAAAACUCUAGGCCAUUAAUACAUGCUAAUUAUAAAUAAAUGGGAGUUAAUAUAAUUUCUAGUCUUUCCAAUUCAUGUUACUCAUAGUCAUCACAUUAAUCUUUCUUAAAAAUCACUGUCGUCAUAGCAUUGUCCUCCUGGGAAACUUUUGCACCUGUUAUUUGAAGUUAAAAUGUUUUUGCUUGGCAUUGUGGGGCUCCUUGUGCCUCUGCUGGAGGUUUAACCAAGCAUCACAUGCAGCAGAAAACAGGGCUGACCAGGAACCCAGGAGACUUGGAUUCUAGUUCUCAUUCUGCCACUGUCUGGUUUGGGGGACAUUGGACUCCCUGACACUCUGACUGGGUAGAUCUGGCCCUGAAGCUAAGGUUCCAGAUAAAAGAGCUAGGAAGGGAGCUUAAGGAGGGCUCCUUAGAAUAGCUGUGGAAAGCAGCUUCUCCAAUGACUCUCGAUGGUCCCUGUCUCGUGGUGUUCGCCCUCUGGUCUUGUGUAAUCCCCUCACUUUGAGUAUGAGCUGCACAUAGUGACUGGCUCCUAACAAAUAAAAUGCAGCAAAAGUGAUGGGAUGUCAUCUGUGAGAUUAGGUUACAAAAGACUGGGCUUUUUGGUUACAUUCUUUCUUUCUGGCCCUUCUUGCUUUCUCUCUAAUGAGGCGAGAUGCCAUGUUGUGAGCUGCUUCGCGGAGAGGCACCAGUGGCAAGGAAAUGAGGGCAGCCAGCAGGCAAUAGCCAGCUGCCAUGUUAAGAGUAGCCCUAUGGAGGGGCCUACAUGACAAGGAACUGACAUCUCUGGUCAACAGUCCGUGAGGACCUAAGGCCACCAACAGCCACAGGAGGGAGCUUGGAAGCAGAUCCCCUCCCCCAGUGGAGCCUUGGGAUGACUGCAGCCUGGCUGACACUUUGAUUGUAGCCUACUGGGAGACCCUGAGGUGGGGGUCCCAGCUAAGCUGCCCAGCUUCCUGACCCGCAGAAACUAUGAGACAAUAACUGUUGGUGUUUUAAACCACUACAUUUGGAGAUAAUUUGUUACACAACAAUAGAUAACUAGUACAGAAGUUCUAAAGAUCAAACAUCACCUGAAAAAGGAGGGACCUUACGGAAAAUAUUACUUAGAAGUUAAAGCUAUUAAAGCUGAGAAGGUGACUUCUGAGCUGAAUUUAAUUUUGAAAAUCACAUGCACAAUAAAAGAAAAUUAAAAGUUUAAAUAAAUAAAUAAUACCCAGACAUGGAAUCAACCCAAAUGCCCAUCAAUGAUAGACCAGAUAGAUAAAAUGUGGCACAUAUACACCAGGAAAUAGUACACAGCCAUAAAAAGAAAUGAGAUCAUGUCCUUUGCAGGGACAUGGAUGGAGCUGGAGGCCAUUAUCCUUAGCAAAGUAACACAGGACCAGAAAACCAAAUGCUACAUGUUCUCACUUGUAAGUGGGAGUGGAAAGAUGAGAACAUAUGGACACAGGCUGGGGCACAACACUCACUGGGGCCUGUCAGGGGUGCAGGGGGAGGGAGAGCAUCAGGAAGAAUAGCUAAUGCAUUAAUUCACUAUUAAUAGCUAAUCAUUAUUACCUUAAUACCUAGGUGAUGGGUUGAUCUGUGCAGCAAACCACCAAGACACAUAUUUCCCUAUGUAACAGACCUUCACAUCCUGCACAUGUACACUGGAACUUAAAAGUUGAAGAAAAAACAAAUGCCCAGAAGACUAAGAUUGAGUCUCAAACUUCGCCUGUAAAGGAACACAUUUGGUUUUCCAGAGAAUGAUUGUAUUGGCACAGUAUAAAAGCCUGUCUCCUCAGGAAUUGGAAGAUAUGUUCCUGAGUAUGGGAAUUGAUACAUGUACAAAGGUACUCAUGGCAGCCUUGGAUAUACAGUAACAGCAAGAGAUUGGAAACUAUACAUAUCUCUCAAUGUGGG
This is a long non-coding RNA of Callithrix jacchus (white-tufted-ear marmoset), 1960 nucleotides long. RefSeq lists it as uncharacterized. NCBI's taxonomy places the organism in Eukaryota, Metazoa, Chordata, Mammalia, Primates, Cebidae. The record is from RefSeq and is a predicted model, not a curated record.